GCACGUGGAGACUGAAUCUGUCUGCAGUAAUUAUUAUUCAAACUUAUCAAAAUAUUUCGUAAUUAAAUAAAAUAUUCACCGCAAUCUAUAGAUCUUACUGACCUUGUCAUCUGAUAAGUGUCUGGUUCAUUACUAACUUCACGGUCACCAAUUGGAGCAGCCGGAAAACCCACAUCGAUAUCAUUAUGUAGCAGGCUUGUGUAAUAACCUUGCGACUGAUAUUGUGUCUCCAACGGAUAUAAAUCUUUCUCGAUGUAUAGCGACACACAUCCAUAAUGUUCAGACAAUCCAAUUAAACCCUCCAAUGAUUCAUCAUCUACUAUAUCAUGAUCAAUAUAUUCAUUCGCUCCCAUAGGGCAUCGAAUUUUGUAUUUAAGACAACAUUCUUCUCUAUUACAAUUUACUAAACGAUACAUUCUCCUCUCAAAAUUCGUAUAGGUCGUAUCUGAACGAAUUGCGAUCAAUCUCUUUCGACCACCGA
Molecule: long non-coding RNA, 481 nt
Filed under: Ananas comosus (pineapple)
Lineage: Eukaryota; Viridiplantae; Streptophyta; Magnoliopsida; Poales; Bromeliaceae
Description: long non-coding RNA (ACOM_LNC011817)
Source: RNAcentral